CGAGGCAGCUGCUGUGGGUGCAGCUCGUCUGGUGAUUGGCAGUGGCUGGCCUCUGGACUUCUGUUGGAAUUGACAGUAGUGCUUCUGAUGAGGUCUCCAAAUUUCGCCCAUUAUGCCUCAAGAGAGUUGCAGGAGUGGCGAGGCAGCUGCUGGAGGGGCAGCUCUGUCAGUUUAAUAGCAGGUUUUAUUGCCAUUAAACUUCUGCUAUUUGGCGCAAUCAGUAGACGCCGUAUAAUCCGUCGCUUUCAUAGUCGCCACUGGAUUGUCCAUUUAGAAACCUACCUAGGUCCUCAUAAGGCUCUUCGUCGGUCCAUUGGCUGUCGUCGUCCAUGUCCAUAUCCGGCUCACUGUCCGAUAUGGCUACUGCUGCUGCUGUAUUGGCGGCUGGUUGUGGUGGCGGCGGGUGUGUAGAUGGUGUUGUCUGUAGUGGCGGCAUGGCUGCCAAGCCCCCGCCUCUAGCCUCUGUCAGAUGUUUGGCACAGCUGCCAUCGCACUGAGCUGCUGGUGUUGGCGUGGCGUCGGGGCAUCAUUCGCGAUCGGUUGCAUCGGCUGGACCCUCUGG
Molecule: long non-coding RNA, 562 nt
Organism: Drosophila miranda
Lineage: Eukaryota; Metazoa; Arthropoda; Insecta; Diptera; Drosophilidae
Exons: 4
Source: RefSeq, a predicted model, not a curated record